AUUGAACGCUGGCGGCAUGCCUUACACAUGCAAGUCGAACGGCAGCACGGGAGCAAUCCUGGUGGCGAGUGGCGAACGGGUGAGUAAUAUAUCGGAACGUGCCCGGUCGUGGGGAUAACGUAGCGAAAGCUACGCUAAUAUCGCAUACGAUCUACGGAUGAAAGCGGGGGAUCACAAGACCUCGCGCGAUUGGAGCGGCCGAUAUCAGAUUAGGUAGUUGGUGAGGUAAAGGCUCACCAAGCCGACGAUCUGUAGCUGGUCUGAGAGGACGACCAGCCACACUGGACUGAGACACGGCCCAGACUCCUACGGAGGCAGCAGUGGGAAUUUUGGACAAUGGGCGCAAGCCUGAUCCAGCAAUGCCGCGUGCAGGAUGAAGGCCU
Molecule: ribosomal RNA, 383 nt
Filed under: uncultured bacterium
Lineage: Bacteria
Description: bacterial SSU rRNA
Rfam family: Bacterial small subunit ribosomal RNA
Source: RNAcentral